GAUGAACGCUGGCGGCGUGCCUAAUACAUGCAAGUCGAGCGAACGGACGAGAAGCUUGCUUCUCUGAUGUUAGCGGCGGACGGGUGAGUAACACGUGGAUAACCUACCUAUAAGACUGGGAUAACUUCGGGAAACCGGAGCUAAUACCGGAUAAUAUUUUGAACCGCAUGGUUCAAAAGUGAAAGACGGUCUUGCUGUCACUUAUAGAUGGAUCCGCGCUGCAUUAGCUAGUUGGUAAGGUAACGGCUUACCAAGGCAACGAUGCAUAGCCGACCUGAGAGGGUGAUCGGCCACACUGGAACUGAGACACGGUCCAGACUCCUACGGGAGGCAGCAGUAGGGAAUCUUCCGCAAUGGGCGAAAGCCUGACGGAGCAACGCCGCGUGAGUGAUGAAGGUCUUCGGAUCGUAAAACUCUGUUAUUGGGGAAGAAAAUAUGUGUAAGUAACUGUGCACAUCUUGACGGUACCUAAUCAGAAAGCCACGGCUAACUACGUG
RNAcentral lists this ribosomal RNA (497 nucleotides) under uncultured bacterium. RNAcentral's name for it is "partial 16S ribosomal RNA". It matches the Rfam family "Bacterial small subunit ribosomal RNA", at positions 28 to 507 of the family's 1533-position model. The record is from RNAcentral.